RNAcentral lists this ribosomal RNA (1031 nucleotides) under Neisseria sp. HMSC15C08. RNAcentral describes it as "bacterial SSU rRNA". It matches the Rfam family "Bacterial small subunit ribosomal RNA", at positions 1 to 1014 of the family's 1533-position model. Lineage: Bacteria; Pseudomonadati; Pseudomonadota; Betaproteobacteria; Neisseriales; Neisseriaceae. The record is from RNAcentral.
AGAGAUUAAACAUAAGAGUUUGAUCCUGGCUCAGAUUGAACGCUGGCGGCAUGCUUUACACAUGCAAGUCGGACGGCAGCACAGAGAAGCUUGCUUCUUGGGUGGCGAGUGGCGAACGGGUGAGUAACAUAUCGGAACGUACCGAGCAGUGGGGGAUAACUAAUCGAAAGAUUAGCUAAUACCGCAUAUAUUCUGAGGAAGAAAGCAGGGGACCAUUUGGCCUUGCGCUGUUUGAGCGGCCGAUAUCUGAUUAGCUAGUUGGUGGGGUAAAGGCCUACCAAGGCGACGAUCAGUAGCGGGUCUGAGAGGAUGAUCCGCCACACUGGGACUGAGACACGGCCCAGACUCCUACGGGAGGCAGCAGUGGGGAAUUUUGGACAAUGGGCGCAAGCCUGAUCCAGCCAUGCCGCGUGUCUGAAGAAGGCCUUCGGGUUGUAAAGGACUUUUGUCAGGGAAGAAAAGGACAGGGAUAAUACCCCUGUCUGAUGACGGUACCUGAAGAAUAAGCACCGGCUAACUACGUGCCAGCAGCCGCGGUAAUACGUAGGGUGCGAGCGUUAAUCGGAAUUACUGGGCGUAAAGCGGGCGCAGACGGUUACUUAAGCAGGAUGUGAAAUCCCCGGGCUCAACCUGGGAACUGCGUUCUGAACUGGGUGACUAGAGUGUGUCAGAGGGAGGUAGAAUUCCACGUGUAGCAGUGAAAUGCGUAGAGAUGUGGAGGAAUACCGAUGGCGAAGGCAGCCUCCUGGGAUAACACUGACGUUCAUGCCCGAAAGCGUGGGUAGCAAACAGGAUUAGAUACCCUGGUAGUCCACGCCCUAAACGAUGUCGAUUAGCUGUUGGGCAGCUUGACUGCUUAGUAGCGAAGCUAACGCGUGAAAUCGACCGCCUGGGGAGUACGGUCGCAAGAUUAAAACUCAAAGGAAUUGACGGGGACCCGCACAAGCGGUGGAUGAUGUGGAUUAAUUCGAUGCAACGCGAAGAACCUUACCUGGUCUUGACAUGUACGGAACCCUCCAGAGACGGAGGGG